Molecule: ribosomal RNA, 459 nt
Filed under: uncultured bacterium
Lineage: Bacteria
Description: partial 16S ribosomal RNA
Rfam family: Bacterial small subunit ribosomal RNA
Source: RNAcentral
CCUACGGGAGGCAGCAGUGAGGAAUAUUGGUCAAUGGGCGGGAGCCUGAACCAGCCAAGUCGCGUGAGGGACGACGGUCCUAUGGAUUGUAAACCUCUUUUGUCGGGGAACAAAGGCGGGGACGUGUCCCCGGAUGAGUGUACCUGAAGAAAAAGCAUCGGCUAACUCCGUGCCAGCAGCCGCGGUAAUACGGAGGAUGCGAGCGUUAUCCGGAUUUAUUGGGUUUAAAGGGUGCGUAGGCGGUCUGUUAAGUCAGCGGUAAAAUUGCGGGGCUCAACCCCGUCGAGCCGUUGAAACUGGCAGACUUGAGUUGGCGAGAAGUACGCGGAAUGCGCGGUGUAGCGGUGAAAUGCAUAGAUAUCGCGCAGAACUCCGAUUGCGAAGGCAGCGUACCGGCGCCAGACUGACGCUGAGGCACGAAAGCGUGGGGAUCGAACAGGAUUAGAUACCCCGGUAGUC